CUGAUUCGAAGAACAUAAUUUUAGAAAGACAGGUAUCCAUAAACCGAGAAAGUAAUUGACGAUUUUGAGAGAAAGAAGCGGCCAACGGCCCGUGGCACAACUCGUCGGUCCGCUGCGGCUCAAUCACAAUCACCGGACGGCCGCAUUUCCCUGUCCUCCCUUCUCUCCGCUCCUGCCCUCAUCCUUACCGCCCUCCUGCUCCUCUUCUUCCACUCCGCCCUCCUCGCCGGCAGCCUCCGCCUCUCCUCCCUCCCCGACGGCGAUCCUAACGUCCGCUCCCUCCUCCACCGCCUCUCCUCCUUGCCCACCUCCUCCUCCUCCUUCUCCUCGUCGCCCCCUUCCCCUCCUCCUCCCCCCGCUGCCCGCCGUCGCACCCCCUUCAUCCACCUCACCCGCCUCGGCACCUUCGACGACAACGGUCACUUCACCUCCUCUUCCUCCUCCGACGCUCCAGAGUUCCUUCAACCGAGUCAAGAUUAGGAUUCCUGACUAUUCCCCAUCCUCCCCCUUCCUCUUCUCCUUCCCCGACGCCGCCGAUGCUGUUGGCGUCGACGACAACGGAGAUCGGGCCCCUGAUAUCCGGAUUCUUGGCCGGGCUUCGGCUUCGAUCCUCAUGAUGUCACGACUAUCCUUUACCUUCUUACCCUCCUCUCCUCCACCCACGCCCUUGCCAUCAUGGGCUUCAUUCUCGCCUACACGUCCGCCGUCGGCGCCGUCUUCUUCUCGACUGUGGCCUUCCACCUUCGGAAGCCGGUCUCCGUCACGGAGACCAUCUAUUCCGGCGCUCGGUUGGGGAUGUGACGGCUCACGCAGUUCGUGUUCUGGAGGUGGGCCGCGAGGGACGCCAUCGUCCAGUUCUUGUGGGUCUGGUUCUUUGCCGAUGUCCGAGACCAGAAUGUGCUCUUCAUGCUCUUCGUCAAGGUCAAGCUUAUGCCUUUCUUCCUCUCGCCCUUGAACCCAUGGCCUGGGCCGCACGAUGAGGCUCUCCUGGGGUUCUUUUUUGCGAGGGCUUUGGUGGAUGCGGUGGUGUCGCUUGUGUUUGCUGUCAUCCCGUGGGUGGAGAUCAUGGACCAUGAUUUAUGCCGACGAGGGCAGGAUGUAGUGAAAGAGGGGUUAUAUAUGAUAUCACUCAUGCCAACACAGGCCAUCUCAAUCAAAUUCUUGGAACUGGUUUGUGGUUAUCUGGGCAGAUGGAUGGCGACGAUGGUUGGCUGGAAGCUAUUUGUGGCAACUUUUCUUUAAAAGGUACAGGUUUACAUCAGUGCGGUUUGGUUGGUCUUCGAUUUUGCAGUAAGGUGAAAAGAUGGAGAAUUAAUUGGCCAGCAGUUUACGGCAAGAGAUUUGGAGGAUUAUCUCAAUGGCCUCAGAUGACCUGGAACUGUGGAACUGGUUGCAUGGUUUGUUUUUUCCAGCUCCCUACAUUGCUUUGACAUGACUGCGAGGUACUACUGUUGCCUCCUCCAACAAUUUGUUGUUAUAGAACUGCCCUUUUUGUGAUUCCUUGUCUUUUUAUGCCGUGUUGUUGCGCCUGAGUUUGUCAUUGAGGGUGAUCUGACUUCAAAUGUACAGUUCUUGGGGAAGGUUUACUUGUACACCAUCUUGUGCAUUUAAGGUGUUGUUGGUUAUGACAUCUAUAGCUGUUAAUUUUUGGUCUAUUGAUCUGAGUCAGACAGUUGAAGAUCUAAAACUGUAGCAUUUUGUUGCCAUGCAGCUUUAUGUGUUCAGCUAGGGCUCGUCUAAUAUGUAAUUCUGUACUUCUGUUGACUUGAAGAUACUGCUGAUUUAUGUAUUUUUGGUGUAUUUCCAUUCCAUUGUUGGCUUUGGCAGCAACUGAGCGAUGGGAAGUAUUGGAUUUUUUUUUUCCUUUUUUAGUAGAGUGUUGUUGUUUCAAAAUUUCAAGUUCUAUAGCAACCUGCUGUUGGGUGGAAAAGUCCAGGGUAGCAGAAAUCAUUGGUGUCAAUUUCAUAUUUGUCUGCAACAUCCAUGAAAUACUUCAGUGUAAGGAAUGUUGAAUCAGGGAGCCAUCGCAUCAUGUUUGUUUGUUUUGGCUCUGUCUGUCUUUAGAAAAACUAGAAGGUACUCGGAUUUUGACAAUUUUCAACUUGUGUUAAAUUGGUUUCUAAUUUCUACUGAGAUACACUUGGGAUAUCUGUUCUUAAAUAAAGUCAGGUUAUGAUUUUGUGGUCCGAAUUAGUUUUAAUUGGCCAGACUAAUCAAUUUGCUGUUAGGUCUAUGGGUUUGGCUGAGCCAGGCUGAUCUGAACACUUAUUUUCUUUGUUUGAAUCAUACAUAGUAUCACACAACAGCUGAGGUGGGAGGAGAUGUCUUGAGUCCAUGAUUCUUCUUUUUUCCUUCCGCCAGCCACAUCCUUGUGAUGUUGGGGUAAUUUGUUGUGAGCAUCCCAUGCUGAUGCCCUUGUCCCACAAUCUCAUGGUCCCUUUAGUUUGUAAUAUAAACUUCUAUCUAAAUCUUGUUUAUCCAUGGCAGACUAAAGUAUAACUGUCAAACAACAAGAUAAUAUAAUCUUGAGGCUCACACUAUUGUUGCCAUAUUCAGAAUGUAGACAUUAAUGUAGUUCCAAAAAUUAAUUAUGUGAGUGAUUGUGGACUAAUAUCUGUAGUGUUUGAAAUAAGUGAUGACUUUGGUUGGCAGGUUUUAGGAAAUAAGGAUGAGGUGAAGUGCGGUUAUGCGUUCUGUUUUUUCACAGAAGUACCUUAUGCUUUGGGGUAUCUUUGAAGAGACUCCUCAUAUUGACUCUUAUGGUUCUUCUCCUUUCCCCUCUUAUGCCACCCUCUUAACUCACCUCUGGGAGUAGCGGUGACUAAGUUAGUUGGAGGUGGAGCAAGACUGUUGCAUGCCGCCAACUGGUUGUCACUUUUAGCAUGCACCAACUGGCCCAUCAUUAACAUUCCCAUUGAGGUCACUAACACACCAUACAUCCGUGUCUUAGCCAAUAGAUUUUGCAUCCUGCCAUAUUAUGGUCUAAGUUUUGGCCCACAAAUUGAUCCAGUUUAUGAACUCUUUUAGCAUGCACCAACUGGUGGCCCAUCAGUAACAUUCCCAUUGAGGUCACUAACACACCAUACAUCCGUGUCUUAGUCAAUAGAUUUUGUGUCCUGCCAUAUUAUGGUCUAAGUUUUGGCCCACAAAUUGAUCCAUGUUUAUGAACUCUUUAAUUUCAAACCUAUCUCACUUGAGUUGUUCAAGAUCUAACUAAAAGACCGAUAUUUAUGAACUCUAACUAUGAAACAUACCUUAUUUGAAUUGUUCAAAAUAUAAGGAAAUUAGCUGAAUAAUUGGAAUUAAUAAAUAGUUAAUAAUGGACUAAUAUAGUUCCUAGUACACACCAUAUUGACCUCUCUAGCAUAGAGUGAGAAAAGCACUAGAUCUUUUUACAAUAGAGAAUAUUACUUGUUUCUAAACUCAGUUUAAUGUCUUAAUCUACACUUGAUCUAAAAUAAACAGAAUAUGAAUCUCCAGUUUUGAUUGGAUUAAUCAGAAUAUAGUGCAUGAAUAGAUAUUGCAUUAUGUUAUAAAGAUGUGCAAUGUUUGCAUAUUUUUUUUCUAUAUGUGAAUCUAUGUGAAUCUCUUAUCUUGUUCAGGUUGCAAUAUGCAAAUAUGCAUAAUUUCCUGAUUGUUACUAUACAUUACUUCCCUGAUGGUAUAGAUUUUACAAGAUUGGAACUACUAGUAAAAAAUCUUAGUAUUGAUUGAAUAUCAAUGAUAGUAGCAAAUAUACAAUGUGAUCGACCAAUAACUGCUGAAACAGUAUCCAGUUUGAAUGACACACCUGAAUGGAUCAAUUCAAUGUUAGAUAUAACUUUUCUAGGUCAUAGGUGUGGCCUUUCAGAUAUUUCUGUUUAGAUCUUAAAAUCCUGCAACCAAUUCUUACAAAUAGCAGCAAUUGAGAAGAGGAAAGGUAAUUGAGACAAAUUAAUUGUUAGCAGCAAAACCAAACCUUUGGUUUUUCUCUGAAGUGAAAUUGUACGGAUGGCAUUGGUUUUGCUCUGAAGUGACAUUGAACAGAUGGCAAUGAAAAUGUUCUCAUUGAAUGAUUUGUAGAGCUUUGAAUUGGGUUGAAAUUUAUACUCUUCAUGAGCUUGAUUAAGCAACACUGGAAAUAAGGGAUGCUCAAGGAAGAUGACCCUGAUGGUGAACUGGCACUUCUCCCCCGUAUACACUACGAUGUGGCCUUAGGGUUGGAAUGUUCUCAUCUUCAGUGCUAGUGAAAAUUAGUCAAUUGAGACACAGCAUUUCACAUCGAAGGAGUCUCCGCAUAUUUUUAUAUUCAUUGUGAGAAAUGGCUAGUUCAAAACAAUUAUCUUAUAUAUUGAUAGUGCCCUGUGCCCUGGAGCACUCCGUGAGUAUGAAUGACAACUUAGUAUGGAAUAAUAACUAGCGAUGACUGUGAAGCCUGUUCUUAAGUUUUAAUGGUUGUAUGGGAAAAAAAUAAUACUCUAUGAGAGCCAAAUGAUCUGUGUGUGUUUCUGUUAGUCGAGGUAAGCUCUUGAAGCAUUAACUCGAUGUUGCUACUAGAUGCAGAAAAGUGUAUCAAAUGUUCUAGAGCUUAGGACCGUAACUGCUAUUUGUCUUCAUUGAUAAGACUCCAAAGUUAGAUCAGGACAUAGUGCUCCUCAAAAUGAUCCAAGUGUAGAUACCACACUUUGGCAAGGCUAAGGUAUCAAAGGAGAAAGUGAUAGGGAUCUAUUCAUUGGUUUGGGUGUAUCAUUCAAUUGGAAAGAGGUGGGGACUUCACUCACCAUUUGUCUUCUGUGCUUCUUAUGAGAACUAAACCUCAUUUGUCAAAUAUGUACUUCGGUCAAUCAGUGGAAAGUGAAUUGCAUUUUUGUUUUCAUCUGCUGAACUGUAUUUUGCAUGCACUUGUGUUGGGAAUUGGCCAUUGUACCACCAUAAUAUUUCCUAUUUGCCACAUUUGCCUUUGCCUUGCUUGUGUUUGAAGUCUAUCUCAUUCAGGUUGUUGGAUAUCAAAGGUUUGAUGAAACAUUUUACUGCAGAAUAUUAAUUGAGAUCCAUGGCUAUUCAAAGAAAGUCUCGAAAUUUCUGUUGAUGUUGCAGUUUGCCUCGUGGGAAACUCCAUUUGAGCAUGCAAAAUGCUCGCAUGAGUAGAAAUAUGUAAAUAGUUGGCUCAUCGACAGAUGGUCUUAUUAUCUUCUUUUAUUCAUCAUUCUCUUUUUUUUUGUCAAUGUGGGACUGUAACUGUGGGUGGCAGUUGAAUUACUUGGGGAGGUAAAGAUACAUUUCGAGCAUUUCAUAUUGUAUAACUAGGAUUGAUGAUCUAGGUCAUUGGUUCUCAAAAACUGGUCAUAUGACACUAAUAAAAUCCUGAUGUUGUAUAGGUACAGAACAUCGACGAGGAAUUGUCUCUAGAACGGUUUGAUAAUCCUUGUAUAAAAAGUAUUUGUUACUUUUGACGCUUAGCAUUCUGUGUAUCAUACAUAGCAUUACAAUGAGAGUAAGUAUCAAUCAAUUAUGGAUUACUGUUUGUACACAGGUCAUCAGGCUUCCGAUUGAACAUGAUAAUCUUGCAGGAGCAGGAUGGGUUGCUCAUCUAUACAUGAGACUUGAGAUCUUGCAGGUUCUGCAAGUCUCCUUUUACUCCAGAUCUGCUCAACUACUCUCUUGUUUUUUUGACUCAGCACAUGGUAAGCCUCAUCUCAGAUUGAAAAAGGAUGAGUAACAAAUUGGAGCAUGAGCUGCUUCCUUUGACUUUUGAGUGAAUGCUGCGGAAGAUUUAAGGUCUGUUUUCAAGUUAUACCCCCAAUCCCAGGAGAAGUAUACCAGCAAAUGUACAAGUAGAAGACCACCCAAGAAAAAUUCCUUUCGUUAUGAGCAUCCAUCUUCCUCUUGUGAUGGGCUGGAUUCCCUGCAAAGUGCAUCGAUCUUCCUCCAGUAACUUGGAUGUUCAACCUAUGUUAGUGAGCUUUAAUUCUACUCCUAUGUGGCUAUAAUUGUCUGGUCUUUAAUUUGAGUGCUAAAAUCAAGAGAGCAUAAUCAUUCUGUCCAUACCAUAAAUCAAGAGUGCUAAAAUCAAGAGAGCAUAAUUUAGUAAUGAUGGCUACUCCUAUUGGAGGGACUGUUGGAUUUCUCAUUGAUUGGAAUACCAACAAUCCAGAAGUCAAGUCUUUUUCAUCCCAUAAACAUUUUGUCCAUACCAUAGUUUAGUUUAGAGAUUUAUGUUUAUGAAUUUGAAGUAUGAUAUACAUGAGUAUGUACAUAUGUGGAAAUCUUCUUUGGAAUAGUCUAUUAUUUUAUAGCUUCAUAA
This is a long non-coding RNA of Musa acuminata AAA Group (dessert banana), 6283 nucleotides long. RefSeq lists it as uncharacterized. NCBI's taxonomy places the organism in Eukaryota, Viridiplantae, Streptophyta, Magnoliopsida, Zingiberales, Musaceae. The transcript has 2 exons. The record is from RefSeq and is a predicted model, not a curated record.